UACGGGAGGCAGCAGUAAGGAAUAUUGGUCAAUGGACGAAAGUCUGAACCAGCCAUGCCGCGUGAAGGAUGAAGGCCCUCUGGGUUGUAAACUUCUUUUAUCUGGGACGAAAAAAGCUCAUUCUUGAGCACUUGACGGUACCAGAGGAAUAAGCACCGGCUAACUCCGUGCCAGCAGCCGCGGUAAUACGGAGGGUGCAAGCGUUAUCCGGAUUCACUGGGUUUAAAGGGUGCGUAGGUGGGUCUGUAAGUCAGUGGUGAAAUCUCCGAGCUUAACUCGGAAACUGCCAUUGAUACUAUAGGUCUUGAAUUUUCUGGAGGUAAGCGGAAUAUGUCAUGUAGCGGUGAAAUGCUUAGAUAUGACAUAGAACACCCAUUGCGAAGGCAGCUUACUACGGGAUAAUUGACACUGAGGCACGAAAGCGUGGGGAUCAAACAGGAUUAGAUACCCUGGUAG
RNAcentral lists this ribosomal RNA (456 nucleotides) under uncultured Bacteroidota bacterium. Its description in RNAcentral is "bacterial SSU rRNA". It matches the Rfam family "Bacterial small subunit ribosomal RNA", at positions 340 to 793 of the family's 1533-position model. Lineage: Bacteria; Pseudomonadati; Bacteroidota. The record is from RNAcentral.